Molecule: long non-coding RNA, 592 nt
Filed under: Panax ginseng (ginseng)
Lineage: Eukaryota; Viridiplantae; Streptophyta; Magnoliopsida; Apiales; Araliaceae
Description: long non-coding RNA (PGIN_LNC006481)
Source: RNAcentral
GAACAUAUAUUUUGCCAAAUUCAGAAUUUUUUAACUGAGCCAACUAUCACAGAGUUUCACAACACUGCCAAACAAAGGGAAGAGCCGAAGAUUCUGCAACCACCCUACCCUAGUCCCUAUAUGCCCAAUGAAAUUGACAUUCUUGAAAAUUCAAAUAAUUUGACUUGUAAAUAUAGUAAAAACUUUUACACAAUCAUAUUCAGCCUAACAUUUACACUCACAAAAUCCUCAAAAAUUACCUCAAUUGUAUUCAUGGUGGCAUUAAUCAGAGUAGGAAGUGCUUUGCUUCCAACAUACACAUAUCCCUCUAAUUGAUAAACUUCAUGUGGAGGACGGAGUAAACAACAAAACCGCCAAUGAAAUCAGUAAUUUGAAGCGAGAUGGAAGCAGGGAUGCGACGACGGCGGCGGCGGUGAAGCGGGAGCUGGUAGUGGUGGUGAUGAAGUGUUAAAAGCAAUGAGGACCAUCGUUGAUGAGCUCCCAGUCGUCUUCUUCUCCCCAACCUGCCGUGGACUGAUGAGAAAUUCUGUAAGUCGCCAUUAAUCUUUAAGCUUAAGGCACUCAAGAGAACGAGUAAAAUGGUGGAGUUAGG